CAGCAGCGCGGUAAUACGAAGGGUGCAAGCGUUAAUCGGAAUUACUGGGCGUAAAGCGUGCGUAGGCGGUGAGUUAAGUCUGCUGUGAAAUCCCCGGGCUCAACCUGGGAAUUGCAGUGGAUACUGGGUCACUAGAGUGUGGUAGAGGAUAGUGGAAUUUCCGGUGUAGCAGUGAAAUGCGUAGAGAUCGGAAGGAACAUCUGUGGCGAAGGCGACUAUCUGGGCCAACACUGACACUGAGGCACGAAAGCGUGGGGAGCAAACAGGAUUAGAGACCCCUGUAGUCCCUGUCUCUUAUACA
RNAcentral lists this ribosomal RNA (301 nucleotides) under uncultured bacterium. RNAcentral's name for it is "partial 16S ribosomal RNA". It matches the Rfam family "Bacterial small subunit ribosomal RNA", at positions 509 to 808 of the family's 1533-position model. The record is from RNAcentral.